GUCUUUUGGUUUGUAUUGUUGGGUAUGUUGAUUGGAAGAAAGAAGAAAUGGGGGGUUGUUUUUGUUUUUGGUAAAAAAAAAUAGGGCACUCGGUAAAAAAAUCGAGGAAAAAGAAACUCUCUCCAAGAAAAAGGCACAGAGUACCCUACGGUUGCGACCAGGGGGUGUAAAAAAAAGGACAGUGGUGUUCACUGAUGAUCCUUCCGCAGGUUCACCUACGGAAA
RNAcentral lists this unclassified non-coding RNA (224 nucleotides) under uncultured fungus. RNAcentral's name for it is "sequence contains ITS1". Lineage: Eukaryota; Fungi. The record is from RNAcentral.